This 21-nucleotide microRNA is filed under the name Anas platyrhynchos (mallard). RNAcentral's name for it is "miR-306-x". The record is from RNAcentral. Lineage: Eukaryota; Metazoa; Chordata; Aves; Anseriformes; Anatidae.
ACAGAGUCACAUAGUACCUGA